AUGGCACGGAGACAACCCGAUGGCACCGUUGACAAUGCCGAAGAAACUGGAUCUCGUGCUGCGGAAGAAGAAGUAGGUGGUCUCAUUGCGAGGGGAAAAAAUCAUGAUAUUGAGAGAAGAUUCAUCGGCACAGGUUAUAAAUUAACGAAAGCUUUUACAGUCACCCCAGCGAAAACUGCACUUCAAUGGCUUGGUGCGGGAGCUGAUGGAGUAAUACACCUGAAUCAUUUAGUCCGUCCUAAGAAUGUAGCCAAAAUGUUUUCAAGCAGGAAAAAAAGAAGAAAGGAUCACUCCUGCCCUUCCUGGGAGAUAUGGGAAAGAAUAAACAUUCAAAUCCGCCUUGGAGUUUGUUUCAUAGGAAAGGGAAACAAUAAAAAUUCAAAUCAGCCCUGGAAUUUCUUUUUCGUGAUUUUUUCUUUAUGUAAUAAGAAUUUACUUAGUAAUAUUUAUUAUUAUAUUUAUUAUUUAUCUAGCUAGCACUUUCCUCGGAGCAGCACGGUACAUAGAUACCUACGCAAGCUAGAAAUCAGAAAAGAUAUGUAUUAACUCACCGGAAGAUCGUGAUGUGCAUAAGUAGCAUGUUAAACCCUCUUGUGGGUUCAGUAAUUCGGUACGAUCUGCAAAUUUAUUGACCAGAUGAAUAGUUCUCUAGUCCGAACAUGAAAGUACAUGGUGGGUUGUGCACUCACAAGCAAUAAGGAGCUGAGUGCUGAGGUAUGUUGAUGGAGACAUACUCAUUUGAUGGUGCGAUUGAUCGAAUUAAAGUGAAGAACUACUGUUUCCUUACCAAUAGACAACAGAACGAAGAAUGAUAAGAUAAAUGUACAUACACAGGACGGCUUGACGUAUCAAGCCAAUCACAAUCACACCUAACCUCAAAACUUUUGUAACUAAUGAACUACGUCAUCUCGAACUCGUCAAACCGUUCAAGUUCAAACCAAAACAAAUCCCCCCCCCCCUCCACCGUGUUUCUCAGGAUUCAAGAAAUAUUUUUUUUUGGAUUUAAAAACAAUUAUCAUCAGGGCCGGAUUAAGGGGGUGGCCACAUGGGCCGCGGCCCAUGGCGGCAAAUCUAGGGGGGGGCAAAUUUUGCAAUUUUUUAAAUGUAGGUAUAAAAAAAUCGGCUUUAGAAAAAAAAAUUACAAACGAAAAAAGGCGACAAGAUCUCUCAUUUCCUGAGAGUAUAGUAAUUUCUAAUUCAGUCCGUCUUUCAUCAGUGAUACAAGUGACAGCACCUUUAAUUAGUUGAGUUAAGAGAGAAACCAAACACGCAAUUUGGCCUGGAACGGCGCGACUUGGAGAGAAAUGAUGACGAGGACUUAUUGAGAUGAAAAGGAGAAGCCUCGGCGCGGCGAUCGAUCGGCAUGUAACACAUAUUAGCGCCUGCAAGAGUGCAUGAAUACUUCACGCAUUGCGUCAAACGCAGUGCUUUCAGCAGCGGUCGGCGUGAAAAUCAUAGUACCUUCAAGACUGUUGGAAUACUUCACGCAUUACUCCAAACACGGUGCGGUCUGCCUGCGCGGCGUGGCGGAAGUUAAAAUCAUUAAAUCACAUUUAUGUUUGUUCUUUCAUAAUUUUUUCGUUCAUUUCUUAUGAAUGGAAGGCCUUGUCCACAAAGAGAUAGGUUUACGAAACUUAAAUUUCGCGCGAAGUUCCGUGAACAUUUGCUAGUAGUGUUGACAGGGCUUUCCCAAAACAUUUGUCCAACACGAAUAAACGCAACUUAUGCAUCCCUCCCCCGCUGACACGUUCACUUGAUGGUUUUUAUUGAUGUUUCAAAACGAAUGAGAAGGGGGGGCGGCAAAAUACAGGCGGCCCAUGGGCGGUUGAAUUGCAAUAUUUGUAUUAUGUAAUUACUACUUUUUGAAAUCCGUGCUACUUGGGGCCCCUUUGACGGUCACCUCUUUAUAGCUGAACUCGAGAAAUGUGUUUUUCAGUUUGCGACGAAAAGUGAAAAAUGCGUUUUUCAGUUUGCGACGAAAAGUCUCCAAUCAUGUUUUACUUUUUUAAUGAAUACCAACCAUCAGUCCCAUCAAGUAGGUAUUCUAAGUAAAUCAUAAAAAACUCCAAGGAAAUGUUUUGAUUAGUAAUCCUUGCAGAGAAUAAAACAUAAUCGGAGGUUUUUAAAACGUUUAAAUUGAGAUACGUCUUUUUCGUAUUUAGCCAUUGAUACAUGACGAGUGGAAAUUGAAAACCUGGCGAGCGUCAUCUGGUUACUUCUAAAAUAUGCAUAGUUAUGCAAUUACGCUCUUCAGCGUAAAAGAUCCUAAACGCCCCGUUUUCAUUGUUGUCUCUAAAUUUGGUCUAUUAGAAACUGAUGCCCCAUUAUAGCAACACCUGAUGGCACUUACCAGGUUUUGAAUUUCUGCUCUCCAUAUAUACAUAUAAAAAAAUACUUCCUCUCUACCCUAAAGGGGAGCGAGAAAGUAAAAAUUCACACUUCUUCAGCUUCGUGUGGCUUUCACCUGAAAAUUUCAGUUUCGUAUGGUUCAAUAAAAUGAUUCUCAGGUUUUGACGUUAUGUUUGUGCUUCUCUAACACAAGCACUCGAAAAAG
This 2554-nucleotide long non-coding RNA is filed under the name Bemisia tabaci. RNAcentral describes it as "lncRNA ENSSSA1UGG012543". The record is from RNAcentral. Lineage: Eukaryota; Metazoa; Arthropoda; Insecta; Hemiptera; Aleyrodidae.